RNAcentral lists this ribosomal RNA (1177 nucleotides) under Streptomyces sp. NRRL B-1140. RNAcentral's name for it is "bacterial LSU rRNA". It matches the Rfam family "Bacterial large subunit ribosomal RNA", at positions 1764 to 2925 of the family's 2925-position model. Lineage: Bacteria; Bacillati; Actinomycetota; Actinomycetes; Kitasatosporales; Streptomycetaceae. The record is from RNAcentral.
GAGCUGGGGGUGGCCGCAGAGACCAGCGAGAAGCGACUGUUUACUAAAAACACAGGUCCGUGCGAAGCCGUAAGGCGAUGUAUACGGACUGACGCCUGCCCGGUGCUGGAACGUUAAGGGGACCGGUUAGCUCUGAUUCGUCAGGGCGAAGCUGAGAACUUAAGCGCCAGUAAACGGCGGUGGUAACUAUAACCAUCCUAAGGUAGCGAAAUUCCUUGUCGGGUAAGUUCCGACCUGCACGAAUGGCGUAACGACUUCUCGACUGUCUCAACCAUAGGCCCGGUGAAAUUGCACUACGAGUAAAGAUGCUCGUUUCGCGCAGCAGGACGGAAAGACCCCGGGACCUUUACUACAGUUUGAUAUUGGUGUUCGGUUCGGCUUGUGUAGGAUAGCUGGGAGACUUUGAAGCUCACACGCCAGUGUGGGUGGAGUCGUCGUUGAAAUACCAGUCUGGUCGUGCUGGAUGUCUAACCUGGGUCCGUGAUCCGGAUCAGGGACAGUGUCUGAUGGGUAGUUUAACUGGGGCGGUUGCCUCCUAAAGAGUAACGGAGGCGCCCAAAGGUUCCCUCAGCCUGGUUGGCAAUCAGGUGUUGAGUGUAAGUGCACAAGGGAGCUUGACUGUGAGACCGACGGGUCGAGCAGGGACGAAAGUCGGGACUAGUGAUCCGGCGGUGGCUUGUGGAAGCGCCGUCGCUCAACGGAUAAAAGGUACCCCGGGGAUAACAGGCUGAUCUUCCCCAAGAGUCCAUAUCGACGGGAUGGUUUGGCACCUCGAUGUCGGCUCGUCGCAUCCUGGGGCUGGAGUCGGUCCCAAGGGUUGGGCUGUUCGCCCAUUAAAGCGGUACGCGAGCUGGGUUUAGAACGUCGUGAGACAGUUCGGUCCCUAUCCGCUGUGCGCGUAGGAAUAUUGAGAAGGGCUGUCCCUAGUACGAGAGGACCGGGACGGACGAACCUCUGGUGUGCCAGUUGUUCUGCCAAGGGCAUGGCUGGUUGGCUACGUUCGGGAGGGAUAACCGCUGAAAGCAUCUAAGCGGGAAGCCUGCUUCGAGAUGAGUAUUCCCACCUCCUUGAGAGGGUAAGGCUCCCAGUAGACGACUGGGUUGAUAGGCCGGAUAUGGAAGCACGGUAACGUGUGGAGUUGACCGGUACUAAUAGGCCGAGGGCUUGUCCUCAGUUG